Molecule: non-coding RNA, 29 nt
Filed under: Rattus norvegicus (Norway rat)
Lineage: Eukaryota; Metazoa; Chordata; Mammalia; Rodentia; Muridae
Source: RNAcentral
UNGGUGCUCUUUGACCUGGGGGUCAGUGA